GCAGUGGUGGUUCAGUGGUAGAAUUCUUACCUUCCCUGCAGGAGACUGGGGUUCGAUUCCCAGCCAUGGUA
This 71-nucleotide transfer RNA is filed under the name Loxodonta africana (African savanna elephant). It matches the Rfam family "tRNA". From Rfam's summary of the family: Transfer RNA (tRNA) molecules are approximately 80 nucleotides in length. Their secondary structure includes four short double-helical elements and three loops (D, anti-codon, and T loops). Further hydrogen bonds mediate the characteristic L-shaped molecular structure. tRNAs have two regions of fundamental functional importance: the anti-codon, which is responsible for specific mRNA codon recognition, and the 3' end, to which the tRNAs corresponding amino acid is attached (by aminoacyl-tRNA synthetases). tRNAs cope with the degeneracy of the genetic code in two manners: having more than one tRNA (with a specific anti-codon) for a particular amino acid; and 'wobble' base-pairing, i.e. permitting non-standard base-pairing at the 3rd anti-codon position. The record is from Rfam by way of RNAcentral. Lineage: Eukaryota; Metazoa; Chordata; Mammalia; Proboscidea; Elephantidae.